CCUUACUUAUUACCAUUAUUAAAGUUACCAUUAUUUGGUUGUUUAUUUUCUGCUAUACUAAUAGAAAUUUGAUAAAAAAAAGUUGGCAAUGGCCAACAGAAAUACAUAACAGAUGCUUUUCAUUUGCUAAAAACAACACUCUAAUUUUAAAGUUGCAAUUUGAUGUGUUGAUGGAUCUCUAUGGUACAUCUGGAACAUAUGUGCAAGAUAGAAAACCUGUGGACAAGGAGCGAUACUUUGUGUUGUUGUAGUUGGCAUAUGGUUUAUCUGAGUAAUUAGUGUUGGCUCAAAAGGUUUUAGUAUAAGGGCAGUGUACCAUACAUUUGCCAUUUUUGAAUUCCAUAUAUUUUUAUGAAAAACACACUGAUAUAAGUUCUGAAUAGACGUAAAGAGAUGUUCUUACACUAUUGUUAGAUUAAGCUAUUGGUCUAUAUGACAAUUGUCAUGCUAUUUCUGGAAAUUACUGCUGCUAUAGUAACCACUUUUGUCUAAUGCUGAUCUAUCAAUUGUUCCUCUGCAACUAGCUUUUACAAUUUCAACAUCCUUUCUCUUAAUAUUUGCCAAAAUUUCUUCCACUUCUCUUCAUCUUCAUUUUUUUUGUUCUUUCUAAAUCUCUGUGUUAAUUUGAGUUAUGUUGUAUCAGUUUGUUAACAUCGGAAAGUUUGAUGGGUAUAUAUUUGUUUUCUUCUUCUUCUUCUAAUUAUUUUUUACUCAAUUAAGGUUCAAACUACCAUGUUUUGCAUUCUGGUUCUCUUGAUUGUUUUUUCUCCAAAGGUGCAUGGACAAGAUGGUCACUUUAAAGUUUAAGGGAUGUUUAUGGUAUUACGAGUAAAUGUGUCAGAAAGACAAGUUACAGAUGUACUGAUCUAGCUGUGAGGUAUAGGAAUAGUGAGCUUAGGUUCCUGAGUCAUUUAGAAAUUUUUUAAACACUCGCAAAAGCAGAGUGGAAGAGUCUUUUAGCCAUGCGAAUUUACAUGCAAAAUUGAUCAUAAAAUACUGAAGAACUGGCAAGUUAUUGAAGCUCAAUAAUGAAUUCGUAGAAACUUGAAUGGUUGCCUAAUAAGAAGGCGGGUCUGGUGGGAUACAUUUUUCUGUUGGACUGGAAUAAGCCACUAGGUCAGCAAUGUUUUUUCUUUACCCUUUUCUAUAUUUGAAGGUGUAGCUGGCCUCUAAAAUGUUGCAUAUUUGGAAACCAAGGGAUUACUCUUUGCUGCUCUCUGUUUCAAGAAUUGGCUGAUUUAGAUACGUACAAUUUAGCCCAUUAAUGAUACAUUAAUGUUCCUAGGAAGAGCUGUAGAGUAGAUAGUAAGUUUUAUGUUGUAUGCUUGUGCAGUGCAUAUAGAAAACUAACUUCUUUCAUUGCUUGAACAACUAGAGACAUUAAAGACUUAUAAUUUAGAUCCCAAAAUGAGAGAUUUGCUGAAUAUGCUUCCUUUAUUAGUUUCAAGUUCUAAUAUUUGAAUUCCCACAUCGGUAAGGAUAUGGACAUACCAAACAGAGAUAGCCAUGUAGUGAAUCAAAACCUUGGUCAGAAGUCCCUUAUGAAUGUUGAUUCUCGGAUGGAUCUUCCAGCUGUUGGUAAAUCUGACUGCUUAUUCGACAAUCUUUAAGUUAUAUUGAUAUAUACCAGUGCCUGAUGAUUUUGAGUUUGUUCAAAUUUCAGUUUUGGGGGUUGAAAUAGAACAUAAGUUGGUCGUGCCUUGAUGUGGGAUGAUAUCAAAUCAUACAAACAAAAACCAUGCACAAACUAAGUCCUGCACAUUUAAGUAACAGGAUUCUAUUACUCAAGAGGUUUUGCCAACAAGUUUUUGGAGCACAUCUUUUUGCCAAUGCACUGUCAAGCUACUAUUUUUUUGCCGUAAGACUGCCUUUUUGAAAAGCUACAUUACAACCAUAUGUGACACCUCCUGCUUUAAAAAGGUAUUUUGUCAACCAUGGCGUUGCACAACUACAACAUGCAGGAUUACUACUAAGAAAAUACCUUUUCUGUAAAUGUGUAGUAUAAAUGAUGUAUAUAUGACAGUGCAAUCAUCAAUGUAAUAGACAAAUGUAUAUAUGCAUAAACAGUGCAAACUUAUUUUAGUUGUCUUAUACUAUCUUACCUCAUUACUUACAAUAAUCUUCUUACUGUUGGAUAUUUUAAAUCAUCCCUAAAUAUUGUCAAAGUGAACGAUUUUUACGUUGGUUUUGGGAAGAGCAUAAAUUGAUCAAA
Long non-coding RNA from Lycium barbarum (goji berry), 2212 nucleotides. RefSeq lists it as uncharacterized. The record is from RefSeq and is a predicted model, not a curated record. Lineage: Eukaryota; Viridiplantae; Streptophyta; Magnoliopsida; Solanales; Solanaceae. The transcript is spliced from 3 exons.